Molecule: long non-coding RNA, 258 nt
Filed under: Oryza brachyantha (malo sina)
Lineage: Eukaryota; Viridiplantae; Streptophyta; Magnoliopsida; Poales; Poaceae
Description: long non-coding RNA (OBRA_LNC001960)
Source: RNAcentral
UUAUAUAUACGGUGCCUGCUCGCAGUGUGGUCUCCACUAUGGCGAUCUUCACUGAAUGCGACCAGCUUUCAGCAGUGACGGAUCUUUCUAAACUAUUUGAAGAUAGUAACGUGUAGGGAAGGUGUACUGUAGCUUCAACGAAUUUGAGAUGGCUAAGGGGUUGUUUAGAUCACGAAAAUUUUUGGCUUAGGUGUUAUAUCUGAUGUUUGAUCGGAUGUCAGAAGACUAUUUAGGUGACAAAUUAAAAAAACUAAUUAC